ACAGGGGUGGGGAGAGCGGAGAUGAGAUCUACUUACCGACCUCUUCACAUCAAGGUCUUUAAGGCCUGAAGAUCCCCAAAGCACUGAAAUGCUUUUAAAGGUUGAGACAGAGAAAGCACAGUUUGUAUGUGGUGCUGCAGGGCUCCAGAGAGGAACCAGCUCCUGGCAGACCUGCUGUGGAUGGCUGUAGCUGCCAGGUAACAUGAGCGGACAGGAGCUGCCUGCCUCACUAUCCUCUCCCAUCUGAUGGCUGUUGAAGGCACCUUCCAGCUGGAUUCCUGUCACAGGGUAGCUGGGCUGUGGUCAGGCUGUGGUGUUAGUGAGUCAAUCCACACGCCAACCCGGCCCAGUCACUUCUUACAAGCUUCUUUUUGCUUCCUAAGUACAAGAGGAAAUCCAAGGAGGUGUUCCAGGGAAAAGGAGGUAACUACAAGCUCCCAGCAGCUCUGGGAGGGCUGGAGAGGAGGUAAGGACUGACUCCUGGGGACUGGGUUGGUUUAGACUGAGAUUGCAACCCAGUGCUAUUUCUACCAGAAAGAUGUUUCCAGCAAAGACAAGCCAUUAAAUUAGCUUCCUAAUCCUGGCUUUCCAGGGGUCAAAUCUUGACAACCAGGAGGAAUGUUUUCCUGCUGCUGAACACAACCUAACCGUGAGAACCAGCAGGGCUGGCAGGCCACCUACCUCUUGGGACAUCCGUCAGGAAGAGGAUGUUGUUGGUGGCGCACCCAAUGCUGGCGGCAAUCCUUCUGUAGCUCUCACUUUCUACCUUGGGGCCUAUUUUGGUAUCGAAGUGGCCAUCAAAGAGCUGAAAGAGAGAGAGAAGCACAGGCCACUGCUGAAUGCCACCUGAAGAGCAGGGCUGAACCUCACUCCUGAGCAAGCCCUCCCCUUUCCUUUCUACCACCGGAACCAGGGGCCGAUGCAGCCAUGCCAGCAGAGUCAACUGGAUGAGCUUAACUCCCGUGGGUCAAACCCACUCCCCCCACCUUCCUGUCCCAGACUUCAUUCACCAAGUGUUACAGCAAGGGGGCUUGUGGGAGGGGAGUGCUCUGCAGAGGGAGAAGCUGUAAGGAAGGUGGUAAGGUUAUCUACCUCUAAGAUAUCACCUUCUGUAGAAUAUCCAAACAGAAGCUUCUGGGCUUCAAUGCUGCCUGAAGAGUAGAUAUAGACCUUCAUCCCUGCUUCCCGCCACUUCCGGAUGGCUGGAACCACGUCCUCAAAGAUUCUGGAGCAAAACAGGAUGGCAGAGUGCUGGGAAAGGAAGAUACUGGUCUAGCAAUGGGCUGACAAGCCUCAAAAUGUGAGCUCCAUCUAACUCUGAGAAGUAGCCACCUGAAGACAAGCCCAGCCACAGGAGCAAAGCUGUAAGAGAAGGAAGGAGGACCAAAGCCAAGGCAACUGCUAAUGGACGUGUCUGUUGUUGCUUCUCAUUUAUACCACGAGAUCUCUCCAGUGCCCCACGCAUAUGUAAGUAAAAGUUCUUUUUGUGGACAUUUCGAAGAUGACCCAUGUACUGGGGGAUACUGAAGGCUAGAGGAUGCCCAGGAGGGACAAAGUGAGGCUGACAGUAAGUCCCUCAAUAAUACGUGGGAUGGUUGGUAAGGAAAGGCCACAAAGCCUCACAGAGGUAGGGAAAGGAUGUCAGUCUGAUGUGGUAGAAGGUUGGAGAGAGGAGCUGGAGGAGAUGUGAUCUCAAGGGAAUGAUCCCAGUCCAAACCGCAGCCUUCCCACCUGCACUGCACAGC
Long non-coding RNA from Corapipo altera (White-ruffed manakin), 1745 nucleotides. RefSeq lists it as uncharacterized. NCBI's taxonomy places the organism in Eukaryota, Metazoa, Chordata, Aves, Passeriformes, Pipridae. The transcript has 3 exons. The record is from RefSeq and is a predicted model, not a curated record.